UCAAAACAGCGGACUUCGGGCUUCGCUGCACCCUUGUCUUUUGCGCACCGUAUUGUUUCCUCGGCGGGCUUGCCUGCCGGUUGGACAUCAUAAAACCUCUUUGUAGUUGCAAUCAGCGUCAGAAAAACAAUAAUUAUUA
RNAcentral lists this unclassified non-coding RNA (139 nucleotides) under soil metagenome. Its description in RNAcentral is "partial internal transcribed spacer 1". The record is from RNAcentral.